AACGAACGCUGGCGGCAUGCCUAACACAUGCAAGUCGAACGAAGCCUUCGGGCUUAGUGGCGCACGGGUGCGUAACGCGUGGGAAUCUGCCCUUGGGUUCGGAAUAACAGUUAGAAAUGACUGCUAAUACCGAAUGAUGUCUUCGGACCAAAGAUUUAUCGCCCAAGGGUGAGCCCGCGUCGGAUUAGCUAGUUGGUGAGGUAAAGGCUCACCAAGGCGACGAUCCGUAGCUGGUCUGAGAGGAUGAUCAGCCACACUGGGACUGAGACACGGCCCAGACUCCUACGGGAGGCAGCAGUGGGGAAUAUUGGACAAUGGGCGAAAGCCUGAUCCAGCAAUGCCGCGUGAGUGAUGAAGGCCUUAGGGUUGUAAAGCUCUUUUUACCCGGGAUGAUAAUGACAGUACCGGGAGAAUAAGCCCCGGCUAACUCCGUGCCAGCAGCCGCGGUAAU
RNAcentral lists this ribosomal RNA (451 nucleotides) under uncultured bacterium. RNAcentral's name for it is "bacterial SSU rRNA". It matches the Rfam family "Bacterial small subunit ribosomal RNA", at positions 29 to 524 of the family's 1533-position model. The record is from RNAcentral.